RNAcentral lists this ribosomal RNA (460 nucleotides) under uncultured bacterium. RNAcentral's name for it is "SSU rRNA". It matches the Rfam family "Bacterial small subunit ribosomal RNA", at positions 26 to 518 of the family's 1533-position model. The record is from RNAcentral.
AGAAUCAACGCUGGCGGCGUGCCUAACACAUGCAAGUCGAACGAGAAAGGGUAGCAAUACCUGAGUAAAGUGGCGCACGGGUGAGUAACACGUGACUAACCUACCCUGGAGUGGGGGAUAACUGAGGGAAACCUUAGCUAAUACCGCAUAAUACCUACGGGUCAAAGGAGCAAUUCGCUUCAGGAGGGGGUCGCGGCCGAUUAGUUAGUUGGCGGGGUAAUGGCCCACCAAGACGAUGAUCGGUAUCCGGCCUGAGAGGGCGCACGGACACACUGGAACUGAAACACGGUCCAGACUCCUACGGGAGGCAGCAGUGGGGAAUUUUGCGCAAUGGGGGAAACCCUGACGCAGCAACGCCGCGUGGAGGAUGAAGUCCUUCGGGACGUAAACUCCUUUCGAUCGGGACGAUUAUGACGGUACCGGAAGAAGAAGCCCCGGCUAACUUCGUGCCAGCAGCCGC